GUGAGGACGUCCAGCGACGCUAUAGCACAGAAAACCUGUACUAUGGACCAGGAAGUGCCCUCUAGUGGCUGUCUAGUAGCCACUAGGGGAGGACUUAACCCUGCAAGGUAAUUAUUGCAGUUUAUAAAAAUUGCAAUAAUUACACUUGCAGGGUUAAGGGUAGUGGGAGUUGGCACCCACACCACUCCAGUGGGCAGAAGUGGUCUG
Non-coding RNA from Pelobates cultripes (western spadefoot toad), 207 nucleotides. The record is from the annotation of a GenBank genome assembly. NCBI's taxonomy places the organism in Eukaryota, Metazoa, Chordata, Amphibia, Anura, Pelobatidae.